GGUCAAGUGAAGAAGCGCAUACGGUGGAUGCCUUGGCAGUCAGAGGCGAUGAAAGACGUGGUAGCCUGCGAAAAGCUUCGGGGAGUCGGCAAACAGACUGUGAUCCGGAGAUAUCUGAAUGGGGGAACCCAGCCAUCAUAAGAUGGUUAUCUUGUACUGAAUACAUAGGUGCAAGAGGCGAACCAGGGGAACUGAAACAUCUAAGUACCCUGAGGAAAAGAAAUCAACCGAGAUUCCCUUAGUAGUGGCGAGCGAACGGGGACCAGCCCUUAAGUUGUAUUGAGAUUAGCGGAACACUCUGGAAAGGGUGGCCAUAGUGGGUGAUAGCCCUGUACGCGAAAAUCCCUUUGCAAUGAAAUCGAGUAGGACGGGGCACGAGAAACCUUGUCUGAAUAUGGGGGGACCAUCCUCCAAGGCUAAAUACUACUGACUGACCGAUAGUGAACCAGUACCGUGAGGGAAAGGCGAAAAGAACCGCGGAGAGCGGAGUGAAAUAGAUCCUGAAACCGUAUGCGUACAAGCAGUGGGAGCCCACUUUGUUGGGUGACUGCGUACCUUUUGUAUAAUGGGUCAGCGACUUAUUUUCAGUGGCGAGCUUAACCGAAUAGGGGAGGCGUAGCGAAAGCGAGUCUUAAUAGGGCGUCUAGUCGCUGGGAAUAGACCCGAAACCGGGCGAUCUAUCCAUGGGCAGGUUGAAGGUUGGGUAACACUAACUGGAGGACCGAACCGACUACCGUUGAAAAGUUAGCGGAUGACCUGUGGAUCGGAGUGAAAGGCUAAUCAAGCUCGGAGAUAGCUGGUUCUCCUCGAAAGCUAUUUAGGUAGCGCCUCAUGUAUCACUGUAGGGGGUAGAGCACUGUUUCGGCUAGGGGGUCAUCCCGACUUACCAAACCGAUGCAAACUCCGAAUACCUACAAGUGCCGAGCAUGGGAGACACACGGCGGGUGCUAACGUCCGUCGUGAAAAGGGAAACAACCCAGACCGUCAGCUAAGGUCCCAAAGUCAUGGUUAAGUGGGAAACGAUGUGGGAAGGCUUAGACAGCUAGGAGGUUGGCUUAGAAGCAGCCACCCUUUAAAGAAAGCGUAAUAGCUCACUAGUCGAGUCGGCCUGCGCGGAAGAUGUAACGGGGCUCAAACCAUGCACCGAAGCUACGGGUAUCAUCUUUUGAUGAUGCGGUAGAGGAGCGUUCUGUAAGCCUGUGAAGGUGAGUUGAGAAGCUUGCUGGAGGUAUCAGAAGUGCGAAUGCUGACAUGAGUAACGACAAUGGGUGUGAAAAACACCCACGCCGAAAGACCAAGGUUUCCUGCGCAACGUUAAUCGACGCAGGGUUAGUCGGUCCCUAAGGCGAGGCUGAAAAGCGUAGUCGAUGGAAAACAGGUUAAUAUUCCUGUACUUCUGGUUAUUGCGAUGGAGGGACGGAGAAGGCUAGGCCAGCCUGGCGUUGGUUGUCCAGGUUUAAGGUGGUAGGCUGAGAUCUUAGGUAAAUCCGGGAUCUUAAGGCCGAGAGCUGAUGACGAGUGUUCUUUAGAACACGAAGUGGUUGAUGCCAUGCUUCCAAGAAAAGCUUCUAAGCUUCAGGUAACCAGGAACCGUACCCCAAACCGACACAGGUGGUUGGGUAGAGAAUACCAAGGCGCUUGAGAGAACUCGGGUGAAGGAACUAGGCAAAAUGGCACCGUAACUUCGGGAGAAGGUGCGCCGGUGAGGGUGAAGCAUUUACUGCGUAAGCUCAUGCCGGUCGAAGAUACCAGGCCGCUGCGACUGUUUAUUAAAAACACAGCACUCUGCAAACACGAAAGUGGACGUAUAGGGUGUGACGCCUGCCCGGUGCCGGAAGGUUAAUUGAUGGGGUUAGCGCAAGCGAAGCUCUUGAUCGAAGCCCCGGUAAACGGCGGCCGUAACUAUAACGGUCCUAAGGUAGCGAAAUUCCUUGUCGGGUAAGUUCCGACCUGCACGAAUGGCGUAACGAUGGCGGCGCUGUCUCCACCCGAGACUCAGUGAAAUUGAAAUCGCUGUGAAGAUGCAGUGUAUCCGCGGCUAGACGGAAAGACCCCGUGAACCUUUACUAUAGCUUUGCACUGGACUUUGAAUUUGCUUGUGUAGGAUAGGUGGGAGGCUUUGAAGCGUGGACGCCAGUCUGCGUGGAGCCAACCUUGAAAUACCACCCUGGCAACUUUGAGGUUCUAACUCAGGUCCGUUAUCCGGAUCGAGGACAGUGUAUGGUGGGUAGUUUGACUGGGGCGGUCUCCUCCUAAAGAGUAACGGAGGAGUACGAAGGUGCGCUCAGACCGGUCGGAAAUCGGUCGUAGAGUAUAAAGGCAAAAGCGCGCUUGACUGCGAGACAGACACGUCGAGCAGGUACGAAAGUAGGUCUUAGUGAUCCGGUGGUUCUGUAUGGAAGGGCCAUCGCUCAACGGAUAAAAGGUACUCCGGGGAUAACAGGCUGAUACCGCCCAAGAGUUCAUAUCGACGGCGGUGUUUGGCACCUCGAUGUCGGCUCAUCACAUCCUGGGGCUGAAGCCGGUCCCAAGGGUAUGGCUGUUCGCCAUUUAAAGUGGUACGCGAGCUGGGUUUAGAACGUCGUGAGACAGUUCGGUCCCUAUCUGCCGUGGACGUUUGAGAUUUGAGAGGGGCUGCUCCUAGUACGAGAGGACCGGAGUGGACGAACCUCUGGUGUUCCGGUUGUCACGCCAGUGGCAUUGCCGGGUAGCUAUGUUCGGAAAAGAUAACCGCUGAAAGCAUCUAAGCGGGAAACUUGCCUCAAGAUGAGAUCUCACUGGAACCUUGAGUUCCCUAAAGGGCCGUCGAAGACUACGACGUUGAUAGGUUGGGUGUGUAAGCGCUGUGAGGCGUUGAGCUAACCAAUACUAAUUGCCCGUGAGGCUUGACCAU
This 2893-nucleotide ribosomal RNA is filed under the name Pseudomonas syringae. RNAcentral describes it as "23S ribosomal RNA". It matches the Rfam family "Bacterial large subunit ribosomal RNA". The record is from RNAcentral. Lineage: Bacteria; Pseudomonadati; Pseudomonadota; Gammaproteobacteria; Pseudomonadales; Pseudomonadaceae.